AAAAAUCAUUCUCUUCAGAUUUCACCUCCGAGUUCUCCUUCUCGGAUUCCUCCUCUUCAGCUCUUCAGCGGGGUCCUGAAAUGGUUUUCCCCAAACUGGGAUGAGACUACGUCUCAGCGAGUUCUACCCCACUAAGCCCGAUUAGUAAACUACUAUACUAAAGGCUGCCUAAACACGCACAGGGCAGAGGACUUACCUUGGCCUCAGAUCCCACCUGCAAGUCAGUACAAUUCAUAAUAGGCACCCAAGCAAUCAUAUGACCGAUCGAAGCAUCGAUCAAAUCGACCUAGUCGAUUACAUGCCAAACAAAUCAAUCCCCACUGUGGGAUAUUUAAAAACUAGGCCACGUGUAUUCUCCAGGAUGACCUUCCAAGUCUCCGAGUCACGUGCCUUGAACCUUGGGCCCACGUGCAUUCUCUCAGGCGACCUUUUCGCCAAAGUGAUGCAUCAAGUCACCGAGACCACGUGCCCUUUUAGAUGCCCGGGCCCACGUGCAUUCUCUUAGGUGCAUCUCACCAAAGCGAUGCAUCAAUUCGCCGAGACCACGUGCCCUUUUAGAUGCCAUUCCGGAAUGCUGGACCCACGUGCAUUCUCUAAGGUACUCGCUUACCAAAGUGACGCAUCAGAUCACCGAGCCACGUGUCCUUUUAGAUGCCAAAUCCUGUCACCGAGCCACGUGCAUUCUCCAGGACGACAUACCGAGUCUCCGAGCCACGUGCAUUCUCUCAGGCGACCUUUUCGCCAAGGUGACAUAUUCAACCACUGAACUCACGUGCAUUCUCCAGGUGACAUUCCAAUUCACCGGGCACACGUGUCCUCUUUCAAGUGGUCACCAAAUCUACUUUCAACACCGAUAACCAAUGCCCAACGAUUUCUCAAUCAAAUAAUUAAAUCAACUCCACAAAGCAUUAUAAAUACUGAAUAACAUACUUGGCCAUUUACCAAUCAACAAUUCAAUCGCAAUCAAUUCCAAUCAAUUUAGGGUAAAUCCCUAAAAUAUCACAAUUUAUUCAAUUCCAUACAACGUAGAGCUCAAAUAAAUAAACGAAUUGCGCCACGACGAUCAGCACGAGAUUUCGGUCGUCAGCCAUCAAAAUCUUAAUUUCCGAAAAAUAAAUAAAUAAUUAUUAAUUUCGAAAAUUAAUUAAUUACUAUUAAAAAUUCAAUUUAGCUCAAAAUAAAGCCUGAUUAAAUAAACAGACUUCACCACAGUCAUCAGCAUAAUAUUCCGGUUCCGAACCAUCUCCCUUGAAUUUUCAGAAAAUAAAUAAUUAUUUAAUUUAAUUUCGAAAAUUAAUAUUUAAAUACUAAAAAUAUCCACUUAGGCCCGAAAAGCCUAAUUGGAGCCCACUAAGGGUCGGGAAAAUUCCCGAAGCACUUCCAAUAAUUAGUAGACCACGUCUACUUGCUAAUUACACAAUCAAUUUAUCUAAAUCACAUCACAAUUGACUAAUAAUUGCUAAUUUAUUCUAAUCUAACAACCUAAACAUAAUUAAUUAAAUCUAAACCAGCUUAAAACAUAAUUAGCCACUAAUCCUGGAUUAGUGAGAUUACUCACCAAAUCGCACGCAAAUCGGAUCAAUCCGACGGCGGCGACGCGAGGAACGAUUGUUCCCAAAGCACGGCUCGGGUUCGGGGCCGGGAAACGGUCCAAAAGCGGGCCCGAAGGUGCUGAAACCCACUUCGUGGGUCUUGC
This 1696-nucleotide long non-coding RNA is filed under the name Eucalyptus grandis. Its description in RNAcentral is "long non-coding RNA (EGRA_LNC004747)". Lineage: Eukaryota; Viridiplantae; Streptophyta; Magnoliopsida; Myrtales; Myrtaceae. The record is from RNAcentral.